This 342-nucleotide long non-coding RNA is filed under the name Hordeum vulgare. RNAcentral's name for it is "long non-coding RNA (HVUL_LNC021363)". The record is from RNAcentral. Lineage: Eukaryota; Viridiplantae; Streptophyta; Magnoliopsida; Poales; Poaceae.
GUUGUCGGGUGAUGGUGCGCUCGAGGGACACAAGGCCUAGGUAAGAUGGCUUGACCUGCCGAGGCAGCCAAUCCUCAUGUCGAAGGGGUCAAGUCAAAGGGGUCAUCCAUUGACAAAUCAUGGGUAUGUGUCACGCCCAAGAUGCGAUCCUAUCCUCAAUUUGUCACGAGGGCCUCGUCAGGGAUAGAAGCGCAUCUCGUCGUUUCGCAAGAAUGGAUAUCGUUACAAGUACAUGUACUGAAAAGAUGAGAUAUAUAGAAUUGGCUUACACUCGCCACAAGCUACAUCAGAGUCACAUCAGUACAAUACAUAAAUAACACGAAAAAGAGCAGGGACUACAGA